RNAcentral lists this transfer RNA (43 nucleotides) under Oroperipatus sp. DVL-2011. RNAcentral describes it as "tRNA-Tyr". Lineage: Eukaryota; Metazoa; Onychophora; Udeonychophora; Euonychophora; Peripatidae. The record is from RNAcentral.
AAUAAACUAAUUUAGAAACAAUAAAUUGUAAAUUUAUUAACAU